CYGGUUGAUCCUGCCAGAGGUCAUUGCUAUCCGGGUUCGACUAAGCCAUGCGAGUUGUGAGGGGUAAGCCCUCGGCGAACUGCUCCGUAAYACGCAGCCAACUUACCGUUAGGAAGAGGAUACCCUCGGGAAACUGAGUUCAAUACUCUAUAGGCAUUACGUGCUGGAAUGCUGCUAUGCUCAAAGCCGCAAGGCACCUAACGAUAGGACUGCGACCUAUCAGGCUGUUUAUGGUGUAAUGAACCAUAAAACCGAUAACGGGUACGGGCUAUGGAAGUAGGAUCCCGGAGAUGGACUCUGAGACAUGAGUCCAGGUCUUACGAGACGCAGCAGGCGCGAAAACUUUGCAAUCUGCUAUCGCAGGACAAGGGAACCUGGAGUGCUCUAGCAUUGCUAGAGCUUUUGCUUUCUGAAAAUAGGAGAGAGAAUAAGGGGUGGGAAAGACGGGUGCCAGCCACCGCGGUAAUACCCGCACCCCUAGUGAUGACCGAGGUUAUUGGGUCUAAAGCGUCCGUAGCCGGUUUGAUAAGUCCCUGGUGAAAUCUUCUAGAAAACUAGAAGGCGUGCUGGGGAUACUGUUAGACUUGAGACCGGGAGAGGGUAAGGAUAUUCUUGGGGUAGGGGUAAAAUCCUGUAAUCCUAAGGAGAUCACCAGUGGCGAAGGCGUUUACCUAGAACGGGUCUGACGGUGAGGGACGAAAGCUUGGGGAGCGAUUGGGAUUAGAUACCCCAGUAGUCCAAGCUGUAAACGAUGCUCGCUUGGUGUUGCAAGCUUCUCGGGAGCUUGCAGUGCCGGAGCGUAGGUGUUAAGCGAGCCACCUGGGAAGUACGGUCGCAAGGCUGAAACUUAAGGGAAUUGGCGGGGGAGCACACAAGGGGUGAAGGCUACGGUUUAAUUGGAUUCAACGCCGGG
RNAcentral lists this ribosomal RNA (913 nucleotides) under uncultured archaeon. RNAcentral's name for it is "bacterial SSU rRNA". It matches the Rfam family "Archaeal small subunit ribosomal RNA", at positions 4 to 922 of the family's 1478-position model. The record is from RNAcentral.